AUUCAACCCAAUGUUCUACUCUAUCAAGACAUUUUUGAGACCCUGUCCCAGAUCAGAAGUCCAGUGGCUCCUCAGAACUCAGAUGCUGUUAGGUGAUCCAGAAGACAGAGUUCUAGACCUGGAGUUUGAGAGAUCUGAGUUUGGACACUUAAUAGUUAAUAACUAUGUGAUCUGGCUUUUUGCAGAUGAAGGACUGAGGCAAAUGGGAUUAAAUGACUUGCCACAUAGUCAGUAAGUGUCUGAGUCCAGAUUUGAACUCAUGAAGAUGUCUUCCUGCUUUCACACACAGUGCUCUAUCUUCUGUGCCACCUAGCUUAUCUGAUGACAAGUGAAAAAUGGUUCCUUCUGUAGAUUAGAAAGAAAAUUGUGCCUUCUGGCCCGAAGAACCAAAGUCCAUAUCAGCUCUAAUAAGAAAUUCCAAUUUACCUUUAAUUGUCAUUUAUAUAGGUUUCUAUGCUACAUAGAGCUCAAACUGUUUCAGAGAACUCUAAUUUCAUUGGUGUGGGCACUCCUUUCACUAAUGUUUAGCACAAGCCCUUUGUACAGCCGUGGAGAGUUGCUGGAUCCCAAUGAUUUGCUCUUCAGUCAUCCUGAUGAUGAACUCAAACUCUAAGCUUGGCUGAUCCUCAGGCAACAGGGACGACAAUUCCUCAUCAUUCCUAUAUUCAAGUCAUUCUAGUUUGGCUGGACUGUGAGUUCUGCUGACAGCUGCAGAGGUGCUAUCAAAUGACUUAUGUAAAUCCUCUCCCCUCUGUGGGCUUCAGUUUUCUCAUGUACAAAAUAAAGAAGUUGGACCAGAUGACUUUGAAGGUCUU
This 815-nucleotide long non-coding RNA is filed under the name Monodelphis domestica (gray short-tailed opossum). RNAcentral's name for it is "lncRNA (ENSMODG00000042343.1)". The record is from RNAcentral. Lineage: Eukaryota; Metazoa; Chordata; Mammalia; Didelphimorphia; Didelphidae.